Molecule: ribosomal RNA, 516 nt
Filed under: uncultured bacterium
Lineage: Bacteria
Description: partial 16S ribosomal RNA
Rfam family: Bacterial small subunit ribosomal RNA
Source: RNAcentral
GACGAACGCUGGCGGCGUGCCUAACACACGCAAGUCGAACGGAGUGUUUAUUUAUAAACACUUAGUGGCGAACGGGUGAGUAACGCGUAGACAACCUACCCUCUAGAUGGGGACAACACCGCGAAAGUGGUGCUAAUACCGAAUGUUGUAAUGUUAUUGCAUAAUGAUAUUACUAAAGGUGGCCUCUAUAUAUAAGCUACCGCUAGAAGAUGGGUCUGCGUCUGAUUAGCUAGUUGGUGAGAUAACAGCUCACCAAGGCAAUGAUCAGUAGCCGGUCUGAGAGGAUGAACGGCCACACUGGGACUGAGACACGGCCCAGACUCCUACGGGAGGCAGCAGUGGGGAAUCUUCCGCAAUGGGCGAAAGUCUGACGGAGCAACGCCGUGUGAGUGAAGAAGGUUUUCGGAUCGUAAAGCUCUGUCUUCAAGGACGAAUGUAGAUAUUGUGAAUAAUGAUAUUUAAUGACGGUACUUGAGGAGGAAGCCACGGCUAACUACGUGCCAGCCGCCGCGGUAA